GACGGAGGGGGCUAGCGUUGUUCGGAAUUACUGGGCGUAAAGAGUGCGUAGGCGGUUUAGUAAGUUGGAAGUGAAAGCCCGGGGCUUAACCUCGGAAUUGCUUUCAAAACUACUAAUCUAGAGUGUAGUAGGGGAUGAUGGAAUUCCUAGUGUAGAGGUGAAAUUCUUAGAUAUUAGGAGGAACACCGGUGGCGAAGGCGGUCAUCUGGGCUACAACUGACGCUGAUGCACGAAAGCGUGGGGAGCAAAC
This 250-nucleotide ribosomal RNA is filed under the name uncultured bacterium. Its description in RNAcentral is "partial 16S ribosomal RNA". It matches the Rfam family "Bacterial small subunit ribosomal RNA", at positions 524 to 773 of the family's 1533-position model. The record is from RNAcentral.